Molecule: ribosomal RNA, 1358 nt
Filed under: metagenome
Description: bacterial LSU rRNA
Rfam family: Bacterial large subunit ribosomal RNA
Source: RNAcentral
CAAUGGGAAGACGUGAUGUGGAGUGAAAUAUAGUAACGAAGCCCGUGAGCCAUGCGUCAAGAAAAGCCGCUAUUGUUUAUAUUGUACCCGUACCGUAAACCGACACAGGUCGAUGAGGAGAGAAUCCUAAGGCCGGCGGAAGAAGUAUUGCCAAGGAACUCGGCAAAAUGGCCCCGUAACUUAGGGAGAAGGGGUGCCUGCGAGAGCAGGCCGCAGAGAAUAGGCUCAAGCAACUGUUUAGCAAAAACACAGGUCUAUGCGAAACCGAAAGGUGAGGUAUAUGGGCUGACGCCUGCCCGGUGCUGGAAGGUUAAGAGGAGAGGUUAGACGCAAGUCGAAGCUUUGAAUUUAAGCCCCAGUAAACGGCGGCCGUAACAAUAACGGUCCUAAGGUAGCGAAAUUCCUUGUCGGGUAAGUUCCGACCCGCACGAAAGGCGUAAUGAUUUGAGCGCUGUCUCGGCAAUACAUCCGGUGAAAUUGAAGUGCCAGUGAAGAUGCUGGCUACCCGCGCCAGGACGGAAAGACCCCAUGGAGCUUUACUCCAGUUUGGCACUGGGGUCCGGUGUUGCAUGUACAGGAUAGGUGGGAGGCUGAGAGAUAGUGACGUCAGUUGCUAUGGAGCCGCUGUUGGGAUACCACCCUUGUGAUAUUGGGCUUCUAACCAGCCGCCGUGAACCGGCGGUGGGACAAUGCCAGGCGGGGAGUUUGACUGGGGCGGUCGCCUCCGAAAGGGUAUCGGAGGCGCCCAAAGGUUCCCUCAGAAUGGACGGAAACCAUUCGAAGAGUGCAAAGGCAGAAGGGAGCUUGACUGCGACACCGACGGGUGGAGCAGGUACGAAAGUAGGGCUAGUGAUCCGGUGGUAUUAAGUGGGAAUGCCAUCGCUCAACGGAUAAAAGCUACCCUGGGAUAACAGGCUUAUCACUCCCAAGAGUUCACAUCGACGGAGUGGUUUGGCACCUCGAUGUCGGCUCAUCGCAUCCUGGGGCUGUAGUAGGUCCCAAGGGUUGGGCUGUUCGCCCAUUAAAGCGGUACGCGAGCUGGGUUCAGAACGUCGUGAGACAGUUCGGUCCCUAUCCGGCGUGGGCGUAGGAUAUCUGAGAGGAGCUGUCCUUAGUACGAGAGGACCGGGAUGGACGGACCGCUGGUGGACCGGUUGGCUUGCCAAAGCCAUGGCCGGGUAGCCAAGUCCGGAAGGGAUAAACGCUGAAGGCAUCUAAGCGUGAAGCCCCCCUCAAGAUGAGAUAUCCCAUUCUUUAAGAAGUAAACCCCCUUGAAGACGACGAGGUAGAUAGGGCAGAGGUGGAAGUGUGGUAACACAUGGAGCUGACUGUUACUAAUCGGGUGAGGGCUUGACCAA